RNAcentral lists this ribosomal RNA (381 nucleotides) under Triticum aestivum (bread wheat). RNAcentral describes it as "partial small subunit ribosomal RNA". Lineage: Eukaryota; Viridiplantae; Streptophyta; Magnoliopsida; Poales; Poaceae. The record is from RNAcentral.
AUGCUUCCAGGUUCACCUACCCUCGCUCUCAAAGCGGCCACCAUUGCCGCCAUGCUUGCCAUGGUGAUCCUUCCGACCAUGGGGCGCUCCCCGUCGCUGGGCCAAGAAGAACUACUAACGACCCCGGCACCAGCAUCGGGUCCGGCGCAGGCGAUGCGGUGCAGCGAGUGUGGCCCACACUGCACAGAGAUGUGCAGAGUCUCUGUUCCCCCGAAGUGCCGCAAGUACUGCAACGUCCCCAGCUGCGAGGAGUGCCGGUCUUCCCCGAUCGGCAAGUGCAGGGCCGGUCGCACCACUGGUAGCUGCAACUGCGACGGCGAAGCGACCCGGUCAUGCUAUGGCUCUUGCUUUGGCAGUUCUUCGUGUGCGGAGGCUAACUAG